GACGAACGCUGGCGGCGUGCGUAACACAUGCAAGUCGAACGGAAAGGCCCUGCUUUCGUGGGGUGCUCGAGUGGCGAACGGGUGAGUAACACGUGAGUAACCUGCCCUUGACUUUGGGAUAACUUCAGGAAACUGGGGCUACUACCGGAUAGGAGCUCCUGCUGCAUGGUGGGCGUUGGAACGUUUCGGCGGUUGGGGAUGGACGCGCGGCUUAUCAGCUUGUUGGUGGGGUAGUGGCUUACCCAGGCUUUGACGGGUAGCCGGCAUGAGAGGGUGGCCGCGGACAUUGGGACUGAGAGAGGGCGCAGUGGGCAACGGUAGGCAGUGGUGGGGAGUAUGGCACAGUGGGCGGGAGCGUGAUGCAGCAACGCUGGGUGCGGGAAGACGGCUUUCGGGUUGUGAACCGCUGUAGCUUGUGACGAAGCGGGAGUGACGGUAAUGGGUAAAGAAGCACCGGCUAACUACGUG
This 468-nucleotide ribosomal RNA is filed under the name uncultured bacterium. Its description in RNAcentral is "partial 16S ribosomal RNA". It matches the Rfam family "Bacterial small subunit ribosomal RNA", at positions 28 to 507 of the family's 1533-position model. The record is from RNAcentral.